Gallus gallus (chicken) is the source of this 459-nucleotide long non-coding RNA. The record is from Ensembl. Lineage: Eukaryota; Metazoa; Chordata; Aves; Galliformes; Phasianidae.
CGCCGGGCUCCAGCUGCUGCCGCCCCGCCGCCGCCGCACGCACGCUCGCUCGCUCGCAGAUGAACCUAUGACUGACUCAUAAUCUGAGAACUGCAGUGGCUUGUAAAAUAGGAAGGGAGAAGGUUUUGAUGUUAAGAGAAGAGGUACUUGGAUAUUUGUACUGAAUCAGAGUUCUUUGUGGCUGGGCUGGGAAACCCCUUUAAUACAGCCUGAUAACGGAAACACUGAUGUGUCAUGAGUUUGGGCACUGCAAGCAGACUGCACUGGGAGGUUAUAAAAGUUGCUUCAGUACAGCAUGAGAAUGACAAGAGAAAAAGAGAAGGGAUAGAGAAUUCGGAGGAAAGAGGUGGCAGCUUGCAAUGAUUAGGUGUCUGCAGAGUAGGAAGUAGGAAGAGGUGCUCUCUUGUCUGUGCUAAUAGGAGUGAAAAUAGAGACCCCCUACCCCCCCUCCAAAAAGAG